Molecule: long non-coding RNA, 1859 nt
Organism: Conger conger (European conger)
Lineage: Eukaryota; Metazoa; Chordata; Actinopteri; Anguilliformes; Congridae
Exons: 4
Source: RefSeq, a predicted model, not a curated record
CAUAAAUUCCUUCCAGAGAGGAGGGGGCAGGACAGGUACAUCGGAAAAGUCACCAUUGUAGCCUUAUGACUGUCUGUCCUUUUUGACUACUGGGUUCGACUGGGAUAAAUGAUGAUUAAUUUUUUUAAUUAAAUUAAAUCAUAGCUAGCUAGUUAAGGGAGGUUGUUGCCACGUUGCUCGUUAGCUGUGUCAUAUCACAUCCUAAAGUAACACUCGACCAGCGUGAUUAAAAAGGAGUCUUAGGAAGGCGCUAUUUGGAGAAAACUGAACCCAGCAAUCGAAUCUGCUCAUUAACUGAAAAAGCAGCAACGCACUAUGCAACCUACAAAUUAUAGCUGACGAUUAAAUCUUAAUUGAAGAUUUAACUAUAUUGAAAAAAUAUUAAUUGCGCCUGUUAUAGGAAUCUAUCCGAAACGUUAUAUUCAAAGAAAACAUGGAUCCGUCGCUCAUAGUAUUAUUCGUCGAACACUGUGUAUUCAGACAGUUACGCACCUAAGGUCUGCCCCUCUGUACUGCUCAGUGCUUUCAUCAUCGUGCACAAUAACUGUUGUGAAGAAACUAGCCUUGAAAUUUUGUUUUGUGAAUUUGUUUAAACCGAUUAUUUCCAGAUCCUGUUACGUUAAGAACGCCUGGAAGAACUUCCUUGGUAUCACCAAUGCGGAAAUCAAAUCAAAAUAAGAGCCACCAACAGGCAGAACAUACUAGCCUGAUUUGAGGUGAAAAAGAAAAUCUAAGUUUUGCAUCACAACUGACCAAGCUCUAGAGGUUCUGUUGUGGGAGUACCUUUCCAGACUGGAUCAGCUGCUGUCGGGACCAGACAUGAAACAGUCCAGGCUUUCUCAUCCAGAAAAAGUAUAGCAAAGCUGUUUCUUACACAGACCAGCUGUCCUCUAUGUCCAGCCCUCCCUCUCAGAGUGGUGGAUUCUGUCAAGAUGACCCGACACCAACAGCCAAUCAGAUUCGAUAACUGAUGGCAUGAAAUGUUUAAGCCCCACAUCUUCAGCUGAAAACAUAAAGGUUGAAUCUGUGACCGACAGCUCUGAAUACACAGGUGUAGACCCAAGGUCACACUUGAACAGAAGGGAUGACAUAGAGAAGAGGACAGAGAGGACAACUGUAUGUUUGCUGUGCAGAGAACAAAAGGACAUACUAGCCAACAUGAAGGUGGAGGAAGAAGAUGGGGAGAGACAGUGUGAAAAUGGAGAGGGACAAUGUUGUAAAAGAUGAAGGAUUCUUGAAGGAGGAGGAAAAAGAGAGGGAUGAACUUGGGGAGAAACAUUUAACAGGGGGAGAAACUCAGAAUUUGGUGAAGAAUGGAAUAAAAUCAGAAUAUGGACAACAAGAAAGGGCGGAGCUUUCUAAUCUGGUCACUUCCUGUCUGGUAAAACAGCCCAGAGUGCUGAUUCACCAACUUGAAAUUGCCAAUAUUUCAGUUCCAUGGAGAGGUAACGGAUCACUGAGACAGUAGGGUCAAGUCGUGACCUGGAAGAGGAAGACUGUUGGCCAGUUGGAGAGAUGCAUUGUUAAUGAGAGAGGUCAGCGGAGAAGGGCCAGAGUGGUCGAAGGUAACGCAAAUAACGCAUUACAACAAUAGUAUACAGAAGAGCAUCUCUGAACACACAACGCAUCAAACCACUAAGUUGAUAGGAAGUAUUAAAGCCUCUGUAGUGAUUAAUGGAAGCAAGUUCAUACAACAUUUGGAAAAUCCAUAUGUAAUACAUGUAUAAUACUUUAACAUUUUUCAAAAGCCUAGAAUCAAAACUUAAAAUGCACCCCACCCCCACCCCUCUGAACUGUAUAUUUUACAUCCCUCUAUUUGGACCUAGGCUAGUAUUUCCUUUUUUCCCUUCUGCUGUUCU